This 161-nucleotide ribosomal RNA is filed under the name Amanita fuliginea. RNAcentral describes it as "5.8S ribosomal RNA". It matches the Rfam family "5.8S ribosomal RNA". Rfam says of the family: 5.8S ribosomal RNA (5.8S rRNA) is a component of the large subunit of the eukaryotic ribosome. It is transcribed by RNA polymerase I as part of the 45S precursor that also contains 18S and 28S rRNA. Functionally, it is thought that 5.8S rRNA may be involved in ribosome translocation. The record is from RNAcentral. Lineage: Eukaryota; Fungi; Basidiomycota; Agaricomycetes; Agaricales; Amanitaceae.
UACAACUUUCAACAACGGAUCUCUUGGCUCUCGCAUCGAUGAAGAACGCAGCGAAAUGCGAUAAGUAAUGUGAAUUGCAGAAUUCAGUGAAUCAUCGAAUCUUUGAACGCACCUUGCGCUCCUUGGCAUUCUGAGGAGCAUGCCUGUUUGAGUGUCAUUAA